RNAcentral lists this transfer RNA (121 nucleotides) under Selenomonas sputigena ATCC 35185. RNAcentral's name for it is "tRNA-Und (NNN) (tRNA-Und-NNN-1-1)". Lineage: Bacteria; Bacillati; Bacillota; Negativicutes; Selenomonadales; Selenomonadaceae. The record is from RNAcentral.
GCCAGGAAGUCGCGCACUUUAAGAGUUUCCGCGUAUUGAGUGUUUGCAAAAACGUGUAAAAAGAAACUCAAAAUCAAGCGUAGUUCCCUACGUGCCGGUUCGAGUCCGGCCUUCGGCACCA